AAACCAACAGGGGGGAUCAGAGUCAGAGAUUCUCAGUGGUCAGUCUUCCCAGAGUCAUCAAACAGACCUGGCCUCCAUAUUCAGUAUGCUUGAACAGAAAAUUAUGACAUUUGUGAAGAACGAGCUGAAGAUGUUCAAGAGGAUUCUUAGUCCAGAACUCCCAGAAGGCUUUGAGAGUCAGAAGCAGGAUAAGGAAGUGGUGGAUGCUGAAGAUGAGAAGCAGGAGAGCAGUGCCAGAGAGGGGCUCUGAAGAUCACACUGCACAUCCUGAGGAAAAUGAACCAGAAGGAGCUUGCUGACACACUGGAGAAAAAUGAGCUCGCUGUGAUUUGCCAACGUGAAAUCAAAUCUAAUCUAAAGAAGAAGUUUCAAUGUGUAUUUGAGGGGAUCGCUAAACAAGGAAACCCAACACUUCUCAAUAAGAUCUACACAGAGCUCUACAUCACAGAGGGUGGAACAGGAGAGGUCAAUAAUGAACAUGAGCUGAGACAGAUUGAGACCACAACCAGGAAACAAGCAAGACCAGAGACUGCAAUCAAAUGUAAUGACAUCUUCACACCCUUAACUGGACAAGACAAACGUAUCAGAACUGUGCUGACAAAGGGAGUCGCUGGCAUUGGAAAACAGUCUCUGUGCAGAAGUUCAUUCUGGACUGGGCUGAAGGAAAAGCAAAUCAGGAUGUCCAAUUUGUAUUUUCAUUCCCUUUCCGGGAGCUGAAUUUGAUGAAAGAGGACAAACACACUUUCAUUGAACUUCUCAAUCACUUCUCAAUGGAAACCAAACAAUCAGGAAUCUCCAUCUAUGACAAGUACAAAGUUCUGUUCAUCUUUGAUGGUCUGGAUGAGUGCCGACUGCCCCUAGACUUCCAGAAGAACAAGAUCUGUUGGGACGUCACAGAGUCAACCUCAGUGGAUGUUCUGCUGACAAAUCUCAUCAAGGGAAA
Molecule: long non-coding RNA, 943 nt
Organism: Oncorhynchus masou masou (cherry salmon)
Lineage: Eukaryota; Metazoa; Chordata; Actinopteri; Salmoniformes; Salmonidae
Exons: 3
Source: RefSeq, a predicted model, not a curated record